Antechinus flavipes (yellow-footed antechinus) is the source of this 405-nucleotide long non-coding RNA. RefSeq lists it as uncharacterized. The transcript has 3 exons. Lineage: Eukaryota; Metazoa; Chordata; Mammalia; Dasyuromorphia; Dasyuridae. The record is from RefSeq and is a predicted model, not a curated record.
UUCUUAUCAACUCAGAUGGUUAAUUUCUCAGCAACUUAUUAGCUCUGAUUUACAUAUUCACUGAAAGGUAGAAUGAUUUUAUAAUCUGAAGAUCUGGAUUUGAGACUUAGUUCUGACAUUUUCUUCAUGUGUGAAUAUGGAAAGAUCAUUUGACCUCUCUGAGUAUCCAUUUCCUCCUGUGUAUAAUGGUAUUUCAGGAAGUAAAUCAGAAAAAUUUUAGCAUCCUGGCCCAGAUGCCCUGAAGAAAAUCGCAACUAGAAGGAUAAUCAAAAAACCUAACUCCUGUGCAAUGAUAAUCCUGUUCUGCCACAGAGAAGAGAUGAAAAAAUGCUUGCCUUCCCGAAGUGGGAGACUAUGAUUGUAGAACAUUGAGUGUUUGAUUAAGUUGAUUGGUUUUGCUUAACA